UGAUGAACCAAAACCAAGAUUCUAAGUACUAAUACUAUAAAAAGUAAAAACUUAAAGAUCAUGGCGGCAAAUAUUUCUACCCAGGGGAACUUGCUUAUUAAAUGAUAAUCCGCGUGGAACCUCACCUUUUCUAAUAGUUUGUAUACCGUCGUUGUCAGGUAAAACCUAAGGUUUUACCGAGAGGUCAGAUAGGAAUAUAUUUCAGAUCAUUGUGCAACUUACGAAAAGGAAUUAAAGUGAGUUACAAUAAAUAUUUUUUAUACGGAAAGGAGGUUGAAAGACCGAAUUGAAGGAGGACUUGGAUGUAAAAUAAAUCUGAAGAAAUAUUAUUUGACUUUUAGCAAUAUUUGUGU
Molecule: ribosomal RNA, 353 nt
Filed under: Cornirostra pellucida
Lineage: Eukaryota; Metazoa; Mollusca; Gastropoda; Cornirostridae
Description: partial 12S ribosomal RNA
Source: RNAcentral